AUUGAACGCUGGCGGCAGGCUUAACACAUGCAAGUCGAGCGGGGAAGAGUAGCUUGCUACUUGACCUAGCGGCGGACGGGUGAGUAAUGCUUAGGAAUCUGCCUAUUAGUGGGGGACAACAUCUCGAAAGGGAUGCUAAUACCGCAUACGUCCUACGGGAGAAAGCAGGGGACCUUCGGGCCUUGCGCUAAUAGAUGAGCCUAAGUCGGAUUAGCUAGUUGGUGGGGUAAAGGCCUACCAAGGCGACGAUCUGUAGCGGGUCUGAGAGGAUGAUCCGGCACACUGGGACUGAGACACGGCCCAGACUCCUACGGGGGGCAGCAGUGGGGAAUAUUGGACAAUGGGGGGAACCCUGAUCCAGCCAUGCCGCGUGUGUGAAGAAGGCCUUUUGGUUGUAAAGCACUUUAAGCGAGGAGGAGGCUACCGAGAUUAAUACUCUUGGAUAGUGGACGUUACUCGCAGAAUAAGCACCGGCUAACUCUGUGCCAGCCGCCGCCGUAA
This 501-nucleotide ribosomal RNA is filed under the name uncultured bacterium. RNAcentral describes it as "partial 16S ribosomal RNA". It matches the Rfam family "Bacterial small subunit ribosomal RNA", at positions 30 to 523 of the family's 1533-position model. The record is from RNAcentral.